This 291-nucleotide long non-coding RNA is filed under the name Medicago truncatula (barrel medic). Its description in RNAcentral is "long non-coding RNA (MTRU_LNC002817)". Lineage: Eukaryota; Viridiplantae; Streptophyta; Magnoliopsida; Fabales; Fabaceae. The record is from RNAcentral.
UUAGAACUGGGCGCCUUAGAUAACCGGAACAGAGAUGAGGAUACAUAUGUGACUGCUUGUUCUACUCUCCAUGGCUCAUAUCAUGGAGCAAAAACAUGAUUACAAAAAUGUGCUGUAUGAUUAUUUGAAAAUUCAAUUUGGGAUUUUUAAUGAAUAAAUGAGAAAACUAAGUGUAGCCUUAACUUGUAUCAUUUUGAAGUAGUGUUUAAGAAACAGAAAUGUCUACCAUUUUUGGCUGACAAGCAAUUCUACAUGUUUUGGUUGAAAAGGUUGUGUUUAUUGCGAUGUCCA